Molecule: long non-coding RNA, 756 nt
Organism: Nerophis ophidion (straightnose pipefish)
Lineage: Eukaryota; Metazoa; Chordata; Actinopteri; Syngnathiformes; Syngnathidae
Exons: 3
Source: RefSeq, a predicted model, not a curated record
CACCGAAGCCAGAAAUCAGAAAUCACCUGUGCUCCCUUAUUUAUUAACCCACUAAGAAGGAGAGCAAAACAUUGACUUGGUGGCUGAUAUAUAUUUGCAAGGCCAUUUUUAAGAAAGAUAUUUAAAGAGAAACUCAAUCUUGUGAGACGAGGUCGGCCAAGCCCAGAAGCUAGUUAAGCUGACCUGGCGGUGAAAUGCCACUCAAAUCAACCAACUACGAGCGGAACUACUGGCUUAUAGGCCUUCAAAUAGGUGUAACAAAUUCGACAUAUGCAGCUCUCACCAGAGGGCAGCGCUGAUCGUUGGUGGCGAGCCACACUGAUGACUCGACAGCACUCACCACUGCGUGGAACUCUGCUGCAAAUACGCUGUGAACACAGACACAUCAGGAUAUGCAGCUGUCCGUGGAGCAAGUUGUGACAGCAAUGCUCUGGUGUACGGGGCAACUGGGCCGUCAGCUUGAUGAGGAUGUUCAUGUACUCUGAGAGGGGAGUCAUGGCGACCAGCGCCUUUGAGGCCAUCACUCUUACACUGUAAAUGGGACUGGCAGACAGCUGGAGUAGAGGAGGUAGGAAGUCUGCCAGUGUUCUGGUGGGAUUAAAAAAAAAAAAAUCAGGCACACACAAUCAUACUUUUAAGACAGUGAUUCUCAAACUGUGGUACGCAAAAAAGAAUCAGUUAACUAUUUAAACAAUGUGUUACUGUUCAAACUGUGUGUAAUGUUACAGUGACUAAAAUAUUAAAUAUACUUGUUCA